CGCGCAGGCGGCUUGGCAAGUCAGAUGUGAAAGCCCACGGCUCAACCGUGGAUGUGCAUUUGAAACUGCUUGGCUUGAGUACCAGAGGGGAAAGUGGAAUUCCCGGUGUAGAGGUGAAAUUCGUAGAUAUCGGGAGGAAUACCGGUGGCGAAGGCGACUUUCUGGCUGGAUACUGACGCUGAGGCGCGAAAGCGUGGGGAGCAAACA
This 207-nucleotide ribosomal RNA is filed under the name uncultured bacterium. RNAcentral's name for it is "partial 16S ribosomal RNA". It matches the Rfam family "Bacterial small subunit ribosomal RNA", at positions 568 to 774 of the family's 1533-position model. The record is from RNAcentral.